This 253-nucleotide ribosomal RNA is filed under the name uncultured bacterium. RNAcentral describes it as "partial 16S ribosomal RNA". It matches the Rfam family "Bacterial small subunit ribosomal RNA", at positions 524 to 776 of the family's 1533-position model. The record is from RNAcentral.
GACAGAGGUCCCAAGCGUUAGGCGGAAUCACUGGGCUUAAAGCGUGUGUAGGCGGCUUUGUAAGUCCCUUGUGAAAUCCCACGGCUCAACCGUGGAACUGCUUGGUAUACUGCUUAUCUUGGGCCAUCUAGGGGCGAGCGGAACAAACGGUGGAGCGGUGAAAUGCGUAGAUAUCGUUUGGAACGCCAAUGGUGAAAACAGCUCGCUGGGGAUGUGCCGACGCUGAGAUACGAAAGCCAGGGGAGCGAACGGG